GACAGAGGUGGCAAGCGUUGUUCGGAAUUACUGGGCUUAAAGGGCGCGUAGGCGGUGGAGUAAGUCCGGGGUGGAAGUCUAAGGCUCAACCUUAGGAUUGCCCUGGAAACUGCAUCACUUGAGUAUUGGAGGGGUGGUGGAAUUCCCGGUGUAGAGGUGAAAUUCGUAGAUAUCGGGAGGAAUACCGGUGGCGAAGGCGACCACCUGGCCAAAUACUGACGCUGAGGUGCGAAAGCGUGGGGAGCAAACAGGAUUAGAUACCCAGUAGU
RNAcentral lists this ribosomal RNA (269 nucleotides) under uncultured bacterium. RNAcentral describes it as "partial 16S ribosomal RNA". It matches the Rfam family "Bacterial small subunit ribosomal RNA", at positions 524 to 794 of the family's 1533-position model. The record is from RNAcentral.